Molecule: non-coding RNA, 78 nt
Organism: Dalotia coriaria
Lineage: Eukaryota; Metazoa; Arthropoda; Insecta; Coleoptera; Staphylinidae
Source: the annotation of a RefSeq genome assembly
AGUUUCGUAGUGUUGUGGACUGGUUAUCACGUCUGCUUCACACGCAGAAGGUCCCCGGUUCGAUCCCGGGCGAAACCA